ACCUUCAAGCUGUGAUUAUCAUAAUUUUACCUUCAAAAUACCUACGAAAUACCAGUGGAUGAAAACGAAUGAAAGCGAAGUGGAGAUAAAAUACAAUAAGGAAAAAUUUGGAUGUCCAAUACAGGCCUUGUAUACAGAGCCGUUUCGUCCUGUUGCUAUCUU
This is a long non-coding RNA of Varanus komodoensis (Komodo dragon), 162 nucleotides long. RefSeq lists it as uncharacterized. The transcript is spliced from 3 exons. NCBI's taxonomy places the organism in Eukaryota, Metazoa, Chordata, Lepidosauria, Squamata, Varanidae. The record is from RefSeq and is a predicted model, not a curated record.